AUUGAACGCUGGCGGCAGGCCUAACACAUGCAAGUCGAGCGGAUGAAGGGAGCUUGCUCCUGGAUUCAGCGGCGGACGGGUGAGUAAUGCCUAGGAAUCUGCCUGGUAGUGGGGGAUAACGUCCGGAAACGGGCGCUAAUACCGCAUACGUCCUGAGGGAGAAAGUGGGGGAUCUUCGGACCUCACGCUAUCAGAUGAGCCUAGGUCGGAUUAGCUAGUUGGUGGGGUAAAGGCCUACCAAGGCGACGAUCCGUAACUGGUCUGAGAGGAUGAUCAGUCACACUGGAACUGAGACACGGUCCAGACUCCUACGGGAGGCAGCAGUGGGGAAUAUUGGACAAUGGGCGAAAGCCUGCUCCAGCCAUGCCGCGUGUGUGAAGAAGGUCUUCGGAUUGUAAAGCACUUUAAGUUGGGAGGAAGGGCAGUAAGUUAAUACCUUGCUGUUUUGACGUUACCAACAGAAUAAGCACCGGCUAACUUCGUG
Molecule: ribosomal RNA, 484 nt
Filed under: uncultured bacterium
Lineage: Bacteria
Description: partial 16S ribosomal RNA
Rfam family: Bacterial small subunit ribosomal RNA
Source: RNAcentral